This 100-nucleotide ribosomal RNA is filed under the name Acanthosepion pharaonis. The record is from RNAcentral. Lineage: Eukaryota; Metazoa; Mollusca; Cephalopoda; Sepiida; Sepiidae.
CGCUGAAACACCGGUUCUCGUACGAUCACCGAAGUUAAGCAGCGUAGAGCCAGGUCAGUACUCAGAUGGGGGACCGCUUGGGAACACCUGGUACUGUAAG